UGAGGAAUAUUGGUCAAUGGGCGAAAGCCUGAACCAGCGACGCCGCGUGAGUGAUGAAGGCCUUCGGGUUGUAAAGCUCUGUGGGGAGGGGCGAAAACGGCCGAGUCGAAUAAGCUCGGUCCUUGACGGUACCUCCUUAGCAAGCACCGGCUAACUCUGUGCCAGCAGCCGCGGUAAUACAGAGGGUGCAAACGUUGCUCGGAAUUACUGGGCGUAAAGCGCGUGUAGGCGGACAAGUAAGUCCGAUGUGAAAUCCCUGGGCUCAACCCAGGAACUGCAUCGGAAACUGCUCGUCUUGAGUGGUGGAGAGGGAAGUGGAAUUCCUGGUGUAGAGGUGAAAUUCGUAGAUAUCAGGAGGAACAUCGGUGGCGAAGGCGGCUUCCUGGACACCUACUGACGC
This 400-nucleotide ribosomal RNA is filed under the name uncultured bacterium. Its description in RNAcentral is "bacterial SSU rRNA". It matches the Rfam family "Bacterial small subunit ribosomal RNA", at positions 355 to 746 of the family's 1533-position model. The record is from RNAcentral.